RNAcentral lists this ribosomal RNA (1398 nucleotides) under uncultured bacterium. RNAcentral's name for it is "bacterial SSU rRNA". It matches the Rfam family "Bacterial small subunit ribosomal RNA", at positions 28 to 1381 of the family's 1533-position model. The record is from RNAcentral.
AUUGAACGCUGGCGGCAGGCCUAACAUUUGCAAGUCGAGCGGUAGAGAGAAGCUUGCUUUUCUUGAGAGCGGCGGACGGGUGAGUAAUGCCUAGGAAUCUGCCUGGUAGUGGGGGAUAACGUUCGGAAACGGACGCUAAUACCGCAUACGUCCUACGGGAGAAAGCAGGGGACCUUCGGGCCUUGCGCUAUCAGAUGAGCCUAGGUCGGAUUAGCUAGUUGGUGAGGUAAUGGCUCACCAAGGCGACGAUCCGUAACUGGUCUGAGAGGAUGAUCAGUCACACUGGAACUGAGACACGGUCCAGACUCCUACGGGAGGCAGCAGUUGGGGAAUAUUGGACAAUGGGCGAAAGCCUGAUCCAGCCAUGCCGCGUGUGUGAAGAAGGUCUUCGGAUUGUAAAGCACUUUAAGUUGGGAGGAAGGGCAGUAAAUUAAUACCUUGCUGUUUUGACGUUACCGACAAAAUUAACACCGGCUAACUCCUGUGCCAGCAACCCGCGGUUAUUACAUAGGGUGCAAAGCGUUAAUCCGAAAUUACUUGGGCGUAAAGCCGCGCGAAAGGUGGGUUUGGUUAGUUGGAAGGGGAAAUCCCCCGGGGUCCAACCCGGGUAACUGCGAUUCAAAACUGAACUGACUUAAAAUAUGGUAGAAGGUGGGGGGGAUUUUCCUGGGGAACCGGGGAAAAUGCUUAAAUUUUGGAAGGAAACCCCCGGGGGCAAAGGGCACCCCCCGGGAACUAAUAAUGGCCAUUGAGGUGGGGAAAGGGGGGGGGGGCAAACCGGAAUUAGAUACCCCGGGUAGUCCCACGCCGAAAACGGAUUUCAAAUUACCGGUGGAAAGCCUUGAGGUUUUUAGUGGGGCCGCUAAACGCAUUAAAUUGACCCGCCUUGGGGAGUACGGCCGCCAAGGUUAAAACCCAAAAAGGAUUGACGGGGGGCCCGCACAAGCGGUGGAGCAUGUGGUUUAAUUCGAAGCAACGCGAAGAACCUUACCAGGCCUUGACAUCCAAUGAACUUUCUAGAGAUAGAUUGGUGCCUUCGGGAACAUUGAGACAGGUGCUGCAUGGCUGUCGUCAGCUCGUGUCGUGAGAUGUUGGGUUAAGUCCCGUAACGAGCGCAACCCUUGUCCUUAGUUACCAGCACGUCAUGGUGGGCACUCUAAGGAGACUGCCGGUGACAAACCGGAGGAAGGUGGGGAUGACGUCAAGUCAUCAUGGCCCUUACGGCCUGGGCUACACACGUGCUACAAUGGUCGGUACAGAGGGUUGCCAAGCCGCGAGGUGGAGCUAAUCCCACAAAACCGAUCGUAGUCCGGAUCGCAGUCUGCAACUCGACUGCGUGAAGUCGGAAUCGCUAGUAAUCGCGAAUCAGAAUGUCGCGGUGAAUCCCUUCAGUGGCCU